UAGGGAAUCUUCCGCAAUGGACGAAAGUCUGACGGAGCAACGCCGCGUGAGUGAUGAAGGCUUUCGGGUCGUAAAACUCUGUUGUUAGGGAAGAACAAGUGCUAGUUGAAUAAGCUGGCACCUUGACGGUACCUAACCAGAAAGCCACGGCUAACUACGUGCCAGCAGCCGCGGUAAUACGUAGGUGGCAAGCGUUAUCCGGAAUUAUUGGGCGUAAAGCGCGCGCAGGUGGUUUCUUAAGUCUGAUGUGAAAGCCCACGGCUCAACCGUGGAGGGUCAUUGGAAACUGGGAGACUUGAGUGCAGAAGAGGAAAGUGGAAUUCCAUGUGUAGCGGUGAAAUGCGUAGAGAUAUGGAGGAACACCAGUGGCGAAGGCGACUUUCUGGUCUGUAACUGACACUGAGGCGCGAAAGCGUGGGGAGCAAACAGGAUUAGAUACCCUGGUAGUCCACGCCGUAAACGAUGAGUGCUAAGUGUUAGAGGGUUUCCGCCCUUUAGUGCUGAAGUUAACGCAUUAAGCACUCCGCCUGGGGAGUACGGCCGCAAGGCUGC
Molecule: ribosomal RNA, 552 nt
Filed under: uncultured Bacillus sp.
Lineage: Bacteria; Bacillati; Bacillota; Bacilli; Caryophanales; Bacillaceae
Description: bacterial SSU rRNA
Rfam family: Bacterial small subunit ribosomal RNA
Source: RNAcentral